GGACGAACGCUGGCGGCGUGCUUAACACAUGCAAGUCGAACGGAAAGGCCCUGCUUUUGUGGGGUGCUCGAGUGGCGAACGGGUGAGUAACACGUGAGUAACCUGCCCUUGACUUUGGGAUAACUUCAGGAAACUGGGGCUAAUACCGGAUAGGAGCUCCUGCUGCAUGGUGGGGGUUGGAAAGUUUCGGCGGUUGGGGAUGGACUCGCGGCUUAUCAGCUUGUUGGUGGGGUAGUGGCUUACCAAGGCUUUGACGGGUAGCCGGCCUGCGAGGGUGACCGGCCACAUUGGGACUGAGAUACGGCCCAGACUCCUACGGGAGGCAGCAGUGGGGAAUAUUGCACAAUGGGCGGAAGCCUGAUGCAGCAACGCCGCGUGCGGGAUGACGGCCUUCGGGUUGUAAACCGCUUUCGCCUGUGACGAAGCGUGAGUGACGGUAAUGGGUAAAGAAGCACCGGCUAACUACGUG
This 469-nucleotide ribosomal RNA is filed under the name uncultured bacterium. Its description in RNAcentral is "partial 16S ribosomal RNA". It matches the Rfam family "Bacterial small subunit ribosomal RNA", at positions 27 to 507 of the family's 1533-position model. The record is from RNAcentral.